AGUGAACGCUGGCGGUAGGCCUAACACAUGCAAGUCGAACGGCAGCACAGUAAGAGCUUGCUCUUACGGGUGGCGAGUGGCGGACGGGUGAGGAAUACAUCGGAAUCUACUUUUUCGUGGGGGAUAACGUAGGGAAACUUACGCUAAUACCGCAUACGACCUACGGGUGAAAGCAGGGGAUCUUCGGACCUUGCGCGAUUGAAUGAGCCGAUGUCGGAUUAGCUAGUUGGCGGGGUAAAGGCCCACCAAGGCGACGAUCCGUAGCUGGUCUGAGAGGAUGAGCCGCGACACUGAGACUUAGACCCGGUCCAGACUCUCACGGCAGGCAGCAGCGGGGAAUAUUGGAAAAUGGGCGGAAUCAUACUCCAGUCAUACCGCGUAGAUGAAGAAGGCCUUCUGGUUCGAGAGCCCUUAUGUUGGGAAAGAAAAGCAGCAGGUUAAUCCCCCGCUGUUCUGACGUUACCCAAAGAAUAAGCACCGGCUAACUUCGUG
Molecule: ribosomal RNA, 492 nt
Filed under: uncultured bacterium
Lineage: Bacteria
Description: partial 16S ribosomal RNA
Rfam family: Bacterial small subunit ribosomal RNA
Source: RNAcentral